GACGAACGCUGGCGGCGUGCUUAACACAUGCGAGUCGAACGGAAAGGCCCUGCUUGCGUGGGGUGCUCGAGUGGCGAACGGGUGAGUAACACGGGAGUAACCUGCCCUGGACUUUGGGAUAACUGCAGGAAACUGGGGCUAAUACCGGAUAGGAGCGCCUGCUGCAUGGUGGGGGUUGGAAAGUUUCGGCGGUUGGGGAUGGACGCGGGGCUUAUCAGCUUGUUGGUGGGGUAGUGGCUUACCAAGGCUUUGGCGGGUAGCCGGCCUGGGAGGGUGACCGGCGACAUUGGGACUGAGGUAGGGCCCAGACUCCUACGGGAGGCAGCAGUGGGGAAUCUUGCACAAUCGGCGGGAGCCUGAUGCAGCAACGCCGCGUGCGUGAUGACGGCCUUCGGGUUGUAAACCGCUUUAGCCUGUGACGAAGCGUGAGUGACGGUAAUGGGUAAAGAAGCACCGGCUAACUACGUG
This 468-nucleotide ribosomal RNA is filed under the name uncultured bacterium. Its description in RNAcentral is "partial 16S ribosomal RNA". It matches the Rfam family "Bacterial small subunit ribosomal RNA", at positions 28 to 507 of the family's 1533-position model. The record is from RNAcentral.